AGAGUUUGAUCAUGGCUCAGAUUGAACGCUGGCGGCAUGCUUUACACAUGCAAGUCGAACGGUAACAGGCCGCAAGGUGCUGACGAGUGGCGAACGGGUGAGUAAUGCAUCGGAACGUGCCCAGUCGUGGGGGAUAACGCAGCGAAAGCUGCGCUAAUACCGCAUACGAUCUAUGGAUGAAAGCGGGGGACCGUAAGGCCUCGCGCGAUUGGAGCGGCCGAUGUCAGAUUAGGUAGUUGGUGGGGUAAAGGCUCACCAAGCCAACGAUCUGUAGCUGGUCUGAGAGGACGACCAGCCACACUGGGACUGAGACACGGCCCAGACUCCUACGGGAGGCAGCAGUGGGGAAUUUUGGACAAUGGGCGCAAGCCUGAUCCAGCAAUGCCGCGUGCAGGAAGAAGGCCUUCGGGUUGUAAACUGCUUUUGUACGGAACGAAACGGCUCUGGUUAAUACCUGGGGCUAAUGACGGUACCGUAAGAAUAAGCACCGGCUAACUACGUGCCAGCAGCCGCGGUAAUACGUAGGGUGCAAGCGUUAAUCGGAAUUACUGGGCGUAAAGCGUGCGCAGGCGGUUUUGUAAGACAGGCGUGAAAUCCCCGGGCUCAACCUGGGAAUGGCGCUUGUGACUGCAAAGCUGGAGUGCGGCAGAGGGAGAUGGAAUUCCGCGUGUAUCAGUGAAAUGCGUACAUAUGCGGAGGA
This 700-nucleotide ribosomal RNA is filed under the name uncultured bacterium. Its description in RNAcentral is "bacterial SSU rRNA". It matches the Rfam family "Bacterial small subunit ribosomal RNA", at positions 8 to 705 of the family's 1533-position model. The record is from RNAcentral.